GGCAUGAUAGUUUAGUGGUUAGUACAUUUGCCUCACACCUCUGGGGUUGGGGGUUCAAAUCCAACCUCUGCCC
Non-coding RNA from Ameiurus melas (black bullhead), 73 nucleotides. Lineage: Eukaryota; Metazoa; Chordata; Actinopteri; Siluriformes; Ictaluridae. The record is from the annotation of a GenBank genome assembly.